Molecule: long non-coding RNA, 986 nt
Filed under: Marmota monax (woodchuck)
Lineage: Eukaryota; Metazoa; Chordata; Mammalia; Rodentia; Sciuridae
Source: RNAcentral
AUUCACAUUGCUGUACAGCUGUCAACAGCAUCAGCCUCUAGAACUUUUUCAUCGUUCCCAACUGAAACUCCAUGUCCUUAGUAAUAAUUCUCUAUUUCCCUUUUUGCUGCAUGUCUUCAGUUCUUAACUUCUUGUAGGAUUGCUACAUAUUUGUUAAUACAGAGAAAAUCAGUUUACUUUGAAGUCACAAAUGAAUUACACCCCUGUCUGCCACUUAUUUCCUAAAUGUGUGAGUUUGGGUCAGACUCAGCUUUGCUCCUCUUUCCCCCUAUCUUAUCUUUAGAAUGGAAUUCUCUUUUUUGGUGACGGCUGAGAGGCAUACUGUAUGUAGAGCACCCAGAACCCUGCUAGGUACCCAAUACAUGGGCACCUCUACAGUUCAUUCGUGUUGAUGAAUUAGUGGUCACCCCAGAGCCUCUGGUGUAGAUGGCUUGCUCCUCGUUCUUCAUCUGAUUCCUGGUUUUGCAUGCCUAGUUAGCAGUUGUGGAAUGAUAAUAGAGUUGGAAAGAAUUGAGUGUCUUAAUUGUCAUAUGUUUAAUAGAAGCUGUUAUAUUUCAGAAAUAUGUGCCCAUACAUUUGUUCAUUCAGUAAAUAUUUAUUGAGCACCUUUUGAAUAUCAGGCACACCUUCCCCUGACAGCCAUCAUUCUGCUUUCUGUCCUUGUGAAUUUGAUUACCCUAGGUACCUCUAAUACACUGUUUGUUCUGUGUGUGUCUAUCUUGUUUCACUUAGCAUAAUGUCUUCCAGGGUCAUCCAUGAUGUAGCAUGUGCUACAGUAUUUCGUUCCUUUUUGGGCUAAAUAAUAUACCCUUGUCUGUAUAUAUCUCAUUUUGUUUAUUCUUUGUUAGUGAACGUUCCUUCUACUUUUUGCCUAAGGUAAAAGGUGGUUGCUUUAAGUAUAAAUGUAAAACUAUCUUUUUGAACACCUGCUUUUAUUUCUUUUGUUUAUGUGCCUUGAAGUGGAAUUGGAUAUGAUAACUCUGUUU